AGUCCAAGUCAUGUGACUCGAGUCCAAGUCAUGUGACUCCAGUCCCCACCACUGUGGAUUCGCAUUAUGGAACUUGAAAAAUAGCACACAAAAAAAAACAACAACAAGGAAAUGUAACAGUUGUAAUGUACAUGUUGUUAAGGAACUGUUAAUGUUCCUUAACAAUUCCUCCUUAAAAUAAUUCCUGAAGUCUGUCUCCUGAGCCGACGUCCUCCGGACCGUCAGUCAGAAAUGAUUUCAAACUAAAGAAGUCCUCCUCAGCCUUUGUGUCUGACUUUGUCUCUGUGCUCGCUGACAUCCAGCUCAUCUAGAUGGCAGCAUGUUCCGCWCAAAGACACGAUGAAAGCAGAGCAACUGAAACGCCCCUCCGGUUCCUGAAAAGCUGUCAGGACAACAGCUGCUCGCUCGUCGCCAUGGCAACGUCUGCUGGCGGCGCAACAGCCUCUGUGUUUACAUGUGAAGUGACUAAAUAUGAGGCAAAUGUAAGCGAUGUAAGAAAGUAGGUGAAGCUAAUAAAGAACAGGGAGGUGAGGAUUCAACAGCCAGGCAGCCAGAAGAGCAUUGAAUCAUUAAAAACAUCGCACUAAUUAUGAAACAUUGACAAAUGUACUGGUCAGGGUUCAGUUAGUAAAAGUCAGAAGCAGCUCUGACCAGCUGGACUUGCCUUGAACUGGGAGCUGACGGUGGGCCGUCGGUGCUUGGUGCUGCCCUUCAGCGUGUCCUGCUUGUUCCGGCUCAGGACGUGUUCAAACAGAUCAUAGACAAAGUCCAACCUGGCAAACAAAGGGCGGAGUCAGGAACAGCAUCCCCCUCACGUCAUACACCACCUGGAGACGGCCACAAGGGGGCAGCGCGGUUUUACGGGAGCGAAGCUUUGUUUUUUUUUUUUCCUCACAGUUUUCAGAUCUCAAUAAAAACAGCA
Non-coding RNA from Poecilia reticulata (guppy), 922 nucleotides. The record is from RefSeq and is a predicted model, not a curated record. Lineage: Eukaryota; Metazoa; Chordata; Actinopteri; Cyprinodontiformes; Poeciliidae.